AGAAGAAGAAGAUGAUGGCGGUGGUUCCCGUUUGGCUUAUGAGUUGAGUCUAGCCUAUGUUGGCGUUUUUUUUGGAUGUUAAGCGAAUGAGGU
This is a long non-coding RNA of Ipomoea nil (Japanese morning glory), 93 nucleotides long. RefSeq lists it as uncharacterized. The transcript has 4 exons. The record is from RefSeq and is a predicted model, not a curated record. Lineage: Eukaryota; Viridiplantae; Streptophyta; Magnoliopsida; Solanales; Convolvulaceae.